Musa acuminata subsp. malaccensis (wild Malaysian banana) is the source of this 1048-nucleotide non-coding RNA. The record is from RefSeq and is a predicted model, not a curated record. Lineage: Eukaryota; Viridiplantae; Streptophyta; Magnoliopsida; Zingiberales; Musaceae.
GCCAUAUUUCUCGCUCUCCGUCCCGCCCUUCCUCCCCUUUCGCCUCCAUCGUCGCGAUCAUCGAGUCCUCCGAUCCAAGUUGCCGGCGCCUCCGAGACGGAGGCUAACUCAGUCCCCCCUGCUCCGUUGUCGACCUCCUCGUUGAUCCUCUUCCCUUCUUUCUCUCUUUCUUGUUCUAUUUAUGCUCGAGUUCCGGAUGCAUCGCUGGUUUCUCCUUGACAAGGGUUUGAUUCAUCUAGUCCCCGCUUCCGUUUACUUCUAUUUUGGUCUUUCCUCUUUAGCCUUUGUCAGAUCUGUCGGUACUAAUUGAUCCUAUGAAACUUGUGAUGGAUGGAUACAUGUUUUCUGGUUCGAUCUUAUGGCUCCAAAGAAAUCUAGGGCAUUAUUAAACUUGACCAUGAUUAGAAGAUGUUGUACUGAAUGCCACAGAGAAAUGGGAAACAUGAAGAAGUUUCUCUUGGAAACUACUUGCUUGCUGAGUUGAAAAAGAAUAUUUUACCUGUGGAGGUUGAUGGUCCAUGUGGGUGGAUAUCUGCAUCAUGCCGCUUUCAAUACUAUGAAAAUAUAUCGAUUUAUACACCUGACAAAUGGGUGCAUCUACCAAAGAUUAUGCAACCAAAAACAGCAGGAAAUCAUGACAAAAAUGGACGGUCGGAUUGUGCGCGUUUCUGCGAAAAGUAAUCCUUCAAUUUGUUGAAUAUGCUUACUGUAUAAUCCUUUAAAUAACAUGACCGUGUUAACAGGUCGACAUGCUCCGACGAGUGGAAGUAGCACGGAUGUCGCUUGCAGCCAAAUAGCACUGCCUUUUACGAAUUUGCACGGUUGGGAGGGGAACGAAGCAAUCGCGUCAACCGCGCAUUGAAGCCGGUUCGAAGGCUCGGCCGUGCUGGGAGCGACGCGUGGAUCAGGUUCACGUUUUAACCGCGCCCCCGGGCACGGCCACGCCACUGUCAACUACCGAACCCCCGUGAAAGGAAAUAGACGCGUGUAGCGAGCGGUCGACAGUAGACCAGGGACCGAGGUGGGCAUGCAGAUCAGGUGAGGGGCA